CCCCCAUAUAUUAGAAUAAUUGUCAUUAGAUCGCUUAUGCUGCAGACAGGGUCACUGUUUAUCAUUACUGCUGUGAAACCCGCUACAAUUGGAAGAGAAAAUGAUCUAGGGCAUACCCUUUGAUUCCCAUAAGUUGGUGUCAGUAGGUUUCAUGCAGAAAUUUAUUUUGACCAUGAUUUACAAAGUUACGUCCUUCUAGAUCAAGGCAGUCAAAAUUGAACAACUGUUCAUGGAAAAUGAAUUGUUCAGCUGAAAACUAAAUGAGACCCUUAUGUACGUGAGCAUAGACAUAAAUUUAAAAUUGGAGAGACUGUGUCACCCUUUCACAUUCACCCUGGCAGUGAUAGCUGUGAUGGCUGUGAACCAUGGCAGGUUAGAACUCACUUUUGCUUUGAUAAGAAAGAUGAAUCUUUUGUUGGUCUACCACUAAGUAAAGAGGAAAAUGAGUUGGAAAUAAGUAAACAAUUAAAGAAAAUAUGACUAAAAUGGGGUUUACAGAAUAUAGAUUAUGAACAUGAAUAGACACUGAAUAAUCUAAAAUAUAAAGAUAGAGCUGGAAAUCAUAGUGAGCAGAUUGGAAGUGAAGGAACAUUCUAGAGAGAUGUUGCUCCUGCAUCUGUUCAUUCUGAAAUUACUGACAGUAACAAAUGUCAGAAGAUGUUGGAGAAGAUGGGUUGGAAAAAAGGAGACGGCCUGGGGAAGGAUGGUGGGUAAUGAAAUCUCCGAUUUAGCUUCAGCUUCAGUGAACAUAUGGAGGCUUGGGGACAGGCAAUCCAUCCUCAAUUGAAGACGUUCAGCUUCUCUGAAACAAAAAACAACCUGGGACAAAGCGUGAGAGAGGUUUGCUGAAAAUUUCCCAGAAACCAAACCUUAAAAAGAUGACCUAGGUACCAGGCCUUGGAUAAAAGGAACU
Molecule: long non-coding RNA, 913 nt
Filed under: Homo sapiens (human)
Lineage: Eukaryota; Metazoa; Chordata; Mammalia; Primates; Hominidae
Description: non-protein coding lnc-TP53TG3F-33:1
Source: RNAcentral